Molecule: ribosomal RNA, 377 nt
Filed under: uncultured bacterium
Lineage: Bacteria
Description: bacterial SSU rRNA
Rfam family: Bacterial small subunit ribosomal RNA
Source: RNAcentral
UAAUACGUAAGGGGCAAGCGUUGUCCGGAAUCACUGGGCGUAAAGCGCGCGUAGGCGGUUUAGUAAGUCGGGUGUGAAAUCCUCGGGCUUAACCCGAGAACUGCGCCCGAAACUGCUUCACUGGAGGGACGGAGAGGUGCAUAGAAUUCCCGGUGUAGGGGUGAAAUCCAUAGAGAUCGGGAGGAAUACCAAUGGCGAAGGCAGUGCACUGGACGUCACCUGACGCUGAGGUGCGAAAGCGUGGGGAGCGAACGGGAUUAGAUACCCCGGUAGUCCACGCCGUAAACGAUGGGUACUAGGUUUGGGAGGCUUCGACCCCUUCCGAGCCGUCGCUAACGCAUUAAGUACCCCGCCUGGGGAGUACGACCGCAAGGUUA